AGACACGCUGGCGGCGUGCCUAACACAUGCAAGUCGAACGAGAUCCAUGGGAGCUUGCUCCCGGAAGAUCUAGUGGCGAACGGGUGAGUAACACGUGAGAAACCUGCCCUGGAGUGGGGAAUAACUCGGGGAAACUCGAGCUAAUACCGCAUACCCUCGGAUGGUCGCAUGGCCGACCGAGGAAAGAUUUAUCGCUCUAGGAGGGUCUCGCGGCCUAUCAGCUAGUUGGUGGGGUAACGGCCUACCAAGGCAACGACGGGUAGCUGGUUUGAGAGAACGAUCAGCCACACUGGGACUGAGACACGGCCCAGACUCCUACGGGAGGCAGCAGUGGGGAAUCUUGCGCAAUGGGCGAAAGCCUGACGCAGCAACGCCGCGUGCGGGAUGACGGCCUUCGUGGUUGUAAACCGCUUUCAGCAGGGACGAAAAUGACGGUACCUGCAGAAGAAGCCCCGGCUAACUACGUG
RNAcentral lists this ribosomal RNA (467 nucleotides) under uncultured bacterium. RNAcentral describes it as "bacterial SSU rRNA". It matches the Rfam family "Bacterial small subunit ribosomal RNA", at positions 33 to 507 of the family's 1533-position model. The record is from RNAcentral.